Molecule: long non-coding RNA, 2104 nt
Organism: Odontomachus brunneus
Lineage: Eukaryota; Metazoa; Arthropoda; Insecta; Hymenoptera; Formicidae
Exons: 5
Source: RefSeq, a predicted model, not a curated record
CUUAUGUUAAGCCAGUGGCGCACGGUGCUUGUUUUCGUGCUGGAUUGCUUGCUAGAUGGAAAUACUUUAGCUGCGUUCAGCAGAAAAAGCUGCUUUGUAACUGUUGUAAAAUUCGUGAAUCUGAUUGAUACAUUGGAUUUAAUCAAAAUUAAAAGCAUGCUCCAAUCAAAUUCAUGAAUUUUACAUCAGUGCAAAACUUUUUCUGCUGUACGCAACCUCUGUUCUGAUUGGUGCAUUUCUGAAGAUGGAUGAAAAUGCACUAAUCAAAAGAGUAUUUCCAUCCAGUACGCAAUCCAGCGCGAAAACAAUCUUCGUGUGCCACUAGUUUAGUAUAGAAAUCGAAAACAAAAAAUUAUAGCGUACGGUACAUUUAUUUAUAUUGUAAUUUUUAAUAGUUAAACGUGUAAAAUAUUGCAACGUAAUUCAAUGCGUAAAGGAAACUCAUGUGUGCCAUAGGAGGUAUCUGGACAAUUUGGGUGCUGUUGGUGAGGUUAUGUUUAAAGAUUAUUUUUGACGAUUGUCCACUUCUGUAAUUUUUCGCCUUAUGUUAAAUAAAGUGCUUGUAAUUAAAAUCUAUCUAAAAGCUCUGCUAAAAGUGACAAAACAUUAGUAAUUAUAACAUUUUUACUUAUGUCAAAUAUUGUAAAUGAUAACUUUCCAAUUUUUUACUAACCAUCUUUCAGUUUUAAGCAUUGUAAUAAUCUAGACUUCAGACUUCAAUUGUUGGCUGAGUACACCUUUACUUAAGUGACCCUACGCCAUUGCCCAUUGUAAUAAUCUGCAUGUAUACGAAAAAUAAUCUACAGGUACACGUGAAAUUACAUUUACACAUUGCAACUUAAGUAAGGAAUAUCCAUUAUCCAAGUCACUGAAGUGAUAUUAAAAUGGGUUGUACAUCUGAUCAGGAUAGUGAAAAUGUUUUAUCCAAUUUGCAAAAUGAGCAUGAUGAUAAAAUAUCUGUCAUUCGAAAAAGAAAGAAGUAUAAGUGCAACCAUCCAGAGUGUGAUGCUAUAUUUUCAGAAUCUUCCAAAUUAGAGAGACAUAUAAGGCAACACACUGGAGAGAGACGAUAUAUUUGUGAUGCACCAGGGUGUACUAAGUCAUAUCUUUUUUCUUGCCACCUAAAAAGACAUUUAAAAACACAUGAUCUCAUUGAAAUAGUGUAUAAAUGUUCGCUGUGUUCAAAAAUGAUUGUUAAUGCUUGCAAUCUGAAACUUCAUUACAAAGAACAUCAUGGCAAAGGUAAAAUUAUUUGUGAAGAAUGUGGCACAGUGUUUAAUAAAAAAUUUGAGCUAGCUAAACACUGUAACAUUGUACAUUUUAAAUCUACAAGUGUGAUAAAUGUCCCAAAGGUUUCGGAAAUAUCGAUAAACUGAAACGUCACAAGAAAAACCAUGAGAAAACUGAUCCUUGCCAAAUUUCUGGAUGUUCAGAUGUAUUUUGUAAAUUGUAUCUUUUGCACGUCAUCAAAGAUGAAACAGAACAUAAGAAUUCGAUUUCAGGAAGCAAAUGUGACAAAUGUAACAAGGUUCUCCGUUCGAAAACACAAUUAAGAAUACAUUCUAAAAUUCACGCUGAAGACCGAAGGGUUAUACCAUGCCCAUACAAAAAAUGUCGUAGAGUUUAUUACUACAAAUCUAACCUGGACUCGCAUAUAAAAAUUAAGCAUCUUGGGAAGAAAUUUUUCUGCGAUGUAUGUUCCGCAGGACUUGCAUCUAAACAGAAGUUAAUAAACCAUAUUAAAAAACAAACAUUAUGUAAUAAAAACAUAAUGACCCUAGAAUUAAACCUAGAAUUAAAAAAAAUAAGAGAAAAAUACCAGAGAAAAAAAUAGACAGUGGCAUACCAAAAAAAAGUGUGAUAGGUAAAUUGAUUGGGAUUAAUUUUAAUAAACCAUCAAAUAAUAUAUAAGUUGUCUAGGUAUAGCUUCCGGAAUGGAGCCGUGUGAUAUAUAAGUUGAAUCUGUAAAAUAUACAUCAUAAAUUAACAAUAUGACAUUUUAUAUAAUUAUAUAAUAUGUGUAUUAUAUAAUAUGUGUAUUAGUUACAAAAUAGUUUUAUUAAAAACUAUUACAAUAAAACAACAUUUAUGUAAGUAUAUGUAA